GAGAGAGGCUUGCAAGCACCAGAGCCUGCUAAACUCCUGACCCCUCGGUUGGACUCCGAGGCUCACUCA
RNAcentral lists this transfer RNA (69 nucleotides) under Pristicon trimaculatus (three-spot cardinalfish). RNAcentral describes it as "tRNA-Ser". Lineage: Eukaryota; Metazoa; Chordata; Actinopteri; Kurtiformes; Apogonidae. The record is from RNAcentral.